RNAcentral lists this ribosomal RNA (253 nucleotides) under uncultured bacterium. RNAcentral's name for it is "partial 16S ribosomal RNA". It matches the Rfam family "Bacterial small subunit ribosomal RNA", at positions 524 to 776 of the family's 1533-position model. The record is from RNAcentral.
UACAGAGGUCCCGAGCGUUGUUCGGAUUCACUGGGCGUAAAGGGUGCGUAGGUGGUGGGGUAAGUCUCGUGUGAAAGCUCGCAGCUCAACUGCGAAAAGUCACGGGAUACUAUUCCGCUGGAGGGUUGGAGGGGGGACUGGAAUACUUGGUGUAGCAGUGAAAUGCGUAGAUAUCAAGUGGAACACCAGUGGCGAAGGCGAGUCCCUGGACAACACCUGACACUGAGGCACGAAAGCCAGGGGAGCAAACAGG